Molecule: ribosomal RNA, 422 nt
Filed under: uncultured eukaryote
Lineage: Eukaryota
Description: SSU rRNA
Rfam family: Eukaryotic small subunit ribosomal RNA
Source: RNAcentral
CCAGCAGCUGCGGUAAUUCCAGCUCCAAUAGCGUCUAUUAAAGUUGUUGCGGUUAAAAAGCUCGUAGCUGGAUCUCGGCGGCCAGGGGGUGGUUCGCUCUACGGCGUUACUGCCCCAUUUGGCCGUGUGAUUGGCGGAGGUUUCCGGGUGCUCUUCGCUGUGUGACCCGGGGCGCCGUCAGGUUUACUUUGAAAAAAUUAGAGUGCUCAAAGCAGGCUUUCACGCUUGAAUAUUCGUGCAUGGAAUAAUGGAAUAGGAACUCGUUUCUAUUUUGUUGGUUUUCGGAAAUCGAGUUAAUGAUUAAUAGGGACAAUUGGGGGCAUUAGUAUUCAAACGACAGAGGUGAAAUUCUUGGACCGUUUGAAGACAAACUACUGCGAAAGCAUUUGCCGAGAAUGUUUUCAUUAAUCAAGAACGAAAGU